Molecule: long non-coding RNA, 526 nt
Organism: Anolis carolinensis (green anole)
Lineage: Eukaryota; Metazoa; Chordata; Lepidosauria; Squamata; Anolidae
Exons: 2
Source: RefSeq, a predicted model, not a curated record
GCAGGUGAUGGAGCAUUGUGUAAUCAUCCUGGCUCCUCUAUGAACAAAAACCAAGGAGCUGGCCUUUGUCCCCCACUCUGUUCCAGCAUGUUUGCUUUCCUGUGGUUAAAGUCCCUUCUAGGCUGGGGCAGCUUACAAAUGCAAAAGAAAAUACAUACAACCUACUUGUUUGUAACUUGGGGACUGCCGGUAUUUGUAUGCAGCAUCUCAAGGUUUAUUCCAAGCUCUCCUGCUCCUCUGCAUAAGGAACCAGAAAGGUGGCACCAAAGAGGUUUCUUCCUGAUCUGCCCAAGACCAUGCGUUAUUUUUCAUGACUGUGUAGUUCAUCAUGUGACAUUGUUAUACCACAAUUGCACAGAAUUAGCCCCAUCUUUUCAUGGAGCUUCACACAAGAUCAUGCUUCUCCCAUUACUUUACUGUGCUGUCCUGCUUUUGAGUAACUUGGAAAUCAAUUUUUCCACUUGAAAUCAUUCAUUAAGAGGCUCCUGUCCCACUAUGAUUUAGUAAAUGUUUUUGAAUACAAAUA